GACGUAGGGCGCGAGCGUUGUCCGGAUUUAUUGGGCGUAAAGAGCUCGUAGGCGGCUUGUUGCGUCAGCUGUGAAAACCCGCAGCUCAACUGUGGGCUUGCAGCUGAUACGGGCAGGCUUGAGUUCGGUAGGGGAGACUGGAAUUCCUGGUGUAGCGGUGAAAUGCGCAGAUAUCAGGAAGAACGACCAGCGGCGGAAGGCGGGCCUCGCUGGGACCGGAAGUGACCGAGCGUAGGGAGGCGAAAGCGG
Molecule: ribosomal RNA, 249 nt
Filed under: uncultured bacterium
Lineage: Bacteria
Description: partial 16S ribosomal RNA
Rfam family: Bacterial small subunit ribosomal RNA
Source: RNAcentral